This 253-nucleotide ribosomal RNA is filed under the name uncultured bacterium. RNAcentral describes it as "partial 16S ribosomal RNA". It matches the Rfam family "Bacterial small subunit ribosomal RNA", at positions 524 to 776 of the family's 1533-position model. RNAcentral also lists the same sequence under 1 other name. The record is from RNAcentral.
UACGGGGGAUGCAAGCGUUAUCCGGAAUGAUUGGGCGUAAAGGGUCUGUAGGUGGUCGAUAAAGUCCACCGUUCAAUACCAAGGCUUAACCUUGGGGCAGCGGUGGAAACUCAUCGGCUUGAGUACGGUAGGGGCAGAGGGAAUUCCCGGCGUAGCGGUGAAAUGCGUAGAUUUCGGGAAGAACACCAAUGGCGAAGGCACUCUGCUGGGCCGAAACUGACACUGAGGGACGAGAGCUAGGGGAGCGAAUGGG